RNAcentral lists this long non-coding RNA (271 nucleotides) under Lathyrus oleraceus (garden pea). Its description in RNAcentral is "Pisum sativum (pea) long non-coding RNA (PSAT_LNC000655)". The record is from RNAcentral. Lineage: Eukaryota; Viridiplantae; Streptophyta; Magnoliopsida; Fabales; Fabaceae.
AUUUUUAGAAGCAUUCUAAGUCUAAAUAAUACAAACUAUUUAAUGUUAAAUGCUCACAUGAAGAGAGCAUUGUUGGAGAAUAAAUUACCUCAAUCACCGAUAUAUUAUAACUAGAGAAACUCAAACUAAAUCAAUCACCGAUAUAUUAUAACUAGAGAAACUCAAACUAAAUCGUAAACUAAAUUAUUUCAAGUAAAAUCAAAUCUCUCCCUGUCAAAGUUCCCAUUAAAGAGUGUUAUUGUACAUCAAAUAACCCAAAUCACAUAUUCCG